UAGAAGUUGAAGCAAACAUACCAGCAAUUUACUAAAUUAAAUUAAAUUAGUGCCUUAAAAGUGAAAAAGAAACGAUUCCCAGACAAGGCUGAUGGUAAAUCUAUAAAAAAAUGGAAGGCUAAGUCGUUCCAUCUUAAGCAUAUUAUCCGAGGAACUUGUUCUGUCCCACAACUUGGAGGGGGGGCAAAACAAGAAGAGGCUCAGACUACCCAAAUUUCGCCCGUGCCUUAUUAAAUGCAAUCGCCCUGGUGGAUCCCUCGGAGCCUCCCGAAAAG
Molecule: non-coding RNA, 275 nt
Organism: Drosophila suzukii
Lineage: Eukaryota; Metazoa; Arthropoda; Insecta; Diptera; Drosophilidae
Source: RefSeq, a predicted model, not a curated record